Molecule: unclassified non-coding RNA, 396 nt
Filed under: Hevea brasiliensis (rubber tree)
Lineage: Eukaryota; Viridiplantae; Streptophyta; Magnoliopsida; Malpighiales; Euphorbiaceae
Source: RNAcentral
AUCAAGUUUAAGAUUAUCAGAGUUACCAACUUGAAUUUUGGAGCUUCUAUCCCCAGAAUCACUUCCAACACCUUGAGUUAACAUGGGGCCCACAGAUGCAGUCUCCUCCGCCGCUGCAUCCCUAACAGGCAANNNNNNNCUAUCAAACCCUUCUCCUCCCGCUGCCAUAGCUCUUGUUCCACCAAUUUCACACUGUUCGGAGAAGUGCAACGAAUCCGAAUAAUAGCCCCAGGCAAAAGGACCUUGUUUCUGAAUGGGAGGAUCGCCAACCGACUCGGCAGCUCUACCGAUUCCGCCAUAGCUCUGCAACUUCAAGUUUCAACCAAAACAAACAUAAACAAAGAGGACGCGAGAGAGAGAGAAAGGGGCCUCUGUUAUAAAUUUAUCUGCUUAUUU